Molecule: ribosomal RNA, 1053 nt
Filed under: Triticum aestivum (bread wheat)
Lineage: Eukaryota; Viridiplantae; Streptophyta; Magnoliopsida; Poales; Poaceae
Description: partial small subunit ribosomal RNA
Source: RNAcentral
AUGCCUGAUGGUGAUUCUGUUCCUAAUAACUUCCUAUACGCAGUUCUUGGUCCAGGAGAUAGGAACUCUCAGGAGAAAGACAUGGCGGAGGAACCCGGUGCAACUUCUAGAUACUAUUGCCACAUGUGCUCCGUGAUCGUAAGGCCAGAGCUGGGCGUCGAGGAGGUGAAGUGCCCGCACUGCUGUUCCGGAUUCGUGGAGGAGAUGGCCGAUGGUCGGCGGAGCAGCAACGCCGUGGGAGACCAUGGUACUACUGCCACAGGGGCCGGCCCAGAUGACGCGGGCGCAAGGUCGGAGCUUGCGGUUCCGCCGUGGCCGCCUAUCCUCAUGGACCUCCUCGGCGUCUCCUACGGCCUCGACGGCGGCGACCUCGCGGCCUUGGCGCGAAGACAGUACCGCCACCUCGCCUUCUUGCAGCUGCUCAACGCGCUCCAGGAAGGCGAUGCCAAUGCCGACGGCGACGCGCCCGAUCCGGGGCUCGAGCGACUCGUGCUGGUUAGCCCCGCCGACGCGCACGCCAUGCUCAUGUCAGAGGGAAGAGCCAGCAAUGGCGCCGGGGCCGGCAGGGGAGCAGGCCUGACGCUUGGCGAGUUGAUUCUUGGCCCCGGGUUGGAUUUGCUGCUGGAGUACCUGGCCGAGACCGACCCGAGCCGGCAAGGCACGCUGCCGGCGAAGAUGGAGGCCGUUGCCGCAUUGCCAACGGUAAAGGUAAGCGAGGCCGCGACCUGCCCGGUGUGCCUGGACGAGUUCGCGGCUGGCGGCGAGGCCAAGGAGAUGCCGUGCAAGCACCGGUUCCACGACGUGUGCAUCCUGCCGUGGCUGGAGGCGCACAGCUCCUGCCCCGUCUGCAGGUACCAGCUGCCCACGGACGAGGCCACGGAGCCGGCCGGCAAUGGCACCGAGGAAACCGCCGACGUGUCGAGUGGCAAUGCACGCCGCGACGUCGAGGGCGAUAGCGACGGUGGAAGCAGUGGCAGGCGGCGGUGGCUCGCACGACCUUUUGGUCGUUUGUUCUCGCGCAGAUCGAAUGGAAGCUCCUCGUCGUCGCGAUGA